Molecule: non-coding RNA, 71 nt
Filed under: uncultured eukaryote
Lineage: Eukaryota
Source: RNAcentral
CUGACUUUUUCGUCGAGGCUCGGGCAGGCGCGGAAGCGAGCAACGCGGACCACAUGGCGCGGACGCUUCGA